Molecule: small RNA, 155 nt
Filed under: uncultured Bacteroides sp.
Lineage: Bacteria; Pseudomonadati; Bacteroidota; Bacteroidia; Bacteroidales; Bacteroidaceae
Description: Bacteroides sRNA BTnc231
Rfam family: Bacteroides sRNA BTnc231
About the family: An uncharacterized small RNA discovered in Bacteroides thetaiotaomicron
Source: RNAcentral
ACGUUUUUUUCAUAGAGAUUUAGAUUUAAGGUUAGAAGAAUUGUGGAAGUCGUGAGACUUCCCUUUUUUUCUUCUUAAGUUGUGUUCUUCCCGGCUUUUUGUUUUUGACCGGAGAUAGAACAGCAAAUAGCCCUUUCGUGAGAAAGGGCUUUUUU